Rhododendron vialii is the source of this 1418-nucleotide long non-coding RNA. RefSeq lists it as uncharacterized. The record is from RefSeq and is a predicted model, not a curated record. NCBI's taxonomy places the organism in Eukaryota, Viridiplantae, Streptophyta, Magnoliopsida, Ericales, Ericaceae. The transcript is spliced from 3 exons.
UAAGAGAGAGAGUUCACUUUACUCUCCUCCUUCUCACUCACGCCUCCCUCUCGUCUCUCUCUCCUCUCACGGUACACACCUCCCUCUCACUCUUACACUCUUCAAUCUCUCAUCAACAACAAAAACCCAUAAAGACCUUCAUCCAUUCUGCCUCUUAUUUGUAGUCUAGACUUUGGAAGUUGUGUGGUUUGGCUCGAACGAGGUGUAUUUUGUCAGUUGUAAACUCGGAGAACUUUGGGCUUGCUUGAUCUUGGAGUUUGAGCUUUUGAUAUUUGAGUCUGCAAAAAACGCUGUUGUGAGCGUUGGGGGAUCGAUCCCCAUGCAUGGGGGUAUCGAUCCCCAAGCUGUCUGAUCCUUCUUUUGCCGUCGGGGGAUCCAUCCCAAUGAGGAGGGGUAUCGAUCCCCUUGCUCUCUGGACUAACUUGAACCAUUUUGACCUCAUCUCGGUUACUUUGACUCACGAUCAGUUCUAACAUAUUUCCAACACCUCCAAACCAUUGCAUAACAUCGUUAAUCACGUGCCAAUGACUCAUUGGUCUUCUUACCCCUUUGGGCUCAUUUGAAUAGGCUAUGGACUUUCUUAAAAUGUGAAUUAUCGUUAUACUUUGACUAUAUGCUUAAUUGUUAUUUUGAGGCAAUGUGGUAAUCAUGGUUAUAAGUUAGGUAGAUUGGUGGUCGUGGUGCUAGAUUGGUGAAUGAUUUGAUGUAUUGAUGUGCGAGGAAAAUGACUUGAUGUUGAUAUUACCUGAUAGAUGAGAAUAAUGGACAGAUUUACUACAUUUACAUAUUGUCCUUUGUGUCUUUCUUACGGUAACUGUGGAUGUGAGAUUGUAUAUGUGUGUUCGACCUAUAAGUUGGUUUAUUGUCGUGCUUUAUUGUGACAUGAAAUUAGAGAUGUGUCUAUUGAUGAAGUUGUAUGACUACUGUGAUUCGAGUGGCUGUAGUUGAGAAUUAGAAUGAGGAAGAGACUGCAACGCAAGGGGUGGAAAUGCUGUGACCCUGAUAAUGAGUGAUGUUGAUUGCAACGCAAGGGGUGGUAAUGCAAACUGCAACGCUAGUGGUGGAAAUGCAGACUGAUUGAGAUUAUGAGAAGUGUCGAAAUGUUUGCGAACCUAUUGUGAGUACGUUUGGUUGAUGUGAGUCUAUUAAUGUUUCUAUAUGUCAGGCGAACUGUUAGGAACACUUACAAGAUGUUUGGAACCCUUUGGCCGUAGUUUGCCUUCCGUUGUGAUAAACUCAUGUUUCUCAUGUUCACUUAUCGAAUUCUUUCACUCUUUGUGCAUAUUUCAUCGCAUUUUCAUAUAGUUUGAGUAUAGAUUUCUCUACUGGGCUAGUAUAGCUCAACCUAUUAUUUUCAGGUACACAACAGGGACACAAUCUUGGAGAGUGUGAAGUGCAUGCAGACACCACACACUAAA